RNAcentral lists this ribosomal RNA (1830 nucleotides) under Mola mola (ocean sunfish). RNAcentral's name for it is "SSU rRNA". It matches the Rfam family "Eukaryotic small subunit ribosomal RNA". Lineage: Eukaryota; Metazoa; Chordata; Actinopteri; Tetraodontiformes; Molidae. The record is from RNAcentral.
CCUGGUUGUUCCUGCCAGUAGCAUAUGCUUAUCCCAAAGAUUUAGCCAUGCGAGUCUAAGUACACACGGACGGUACAGUGAAACUGCGAAUGGUUCAUUAAAUCAGUUAUGGUUCCUUUGAUCUCUCUGACAUUGCUUGGAUAACUGCGGCAAUUUUAGAGCUAAUACAUGCCAACAAGCACUGACCACCGGGGAUGCGUGCAUUUAUGAGACCCAAAACCCACGCGAGGUCGCCCACCCCCCCACCUCGGGGAGCGCCCCGGCUGCUUUGGUGACUCUAGAUAACCUUGAGCCGAUCGCUGGCCCCCUCGUGGCAGCAACGUCUCAUUCGAAUGUCUGCCUUAUCAACUUUCGAUGGCACUUUCGGCGCCUACCAUGGUGACCACGGGUAACGGGGAAUCAGGGUACGAUUCCGGAGAGGGAGCCUGAGAAACAGCUACCACAUCAAAGGAAGGCAGCAGGCGCGCAAAUUACCCACUCCCGACUCGGGGAGGUAGUGACGAAAAAUAACAAUACAGGACUCUUUCGAGACUCUGUAAUUGAAAUGAGUACACUUUAAAUCCUUUAACGAGGAUCCAUUGGAGAGCAAGCCUGGUGCCAGCAGCCGCGGUAAUUCCAGCUCCAAUAGUGUAUCUUAAAGUUGCUGCAGUUAAAAAGCUCAUAGUUGGAUCUCGGGAUUGAACUGACGGUCCGCUGUGAGGCGAGCCACUGUCUGUUCCAGCCCCUGCCUCUCGGCUCCCCCUUGAUACUCUUAGCUGACUGUCCCGUGGGGUCCGAAGCCUUUACUUUGAAAAAAUAAAGAGUGUUCAAAGCAGGCCCCGGUUGCCCGAAUACCGCAGCUAGGAAUAAUGGAAUAGGACUCCGGUUCUUUCUCUGAACUGGGGCCAUGAUUAAGAGGGACGGCCGGGGGCAUUCGUAUUGUGUCGCUAGAGGUGAAAUACUUGGAUCGUCGCAAGACGGGCGAAAGCAAAAGCAUUUACCAAGAAUGUUUUCAUUAAUCAAGAACGAAAGUCGGAGGUUCGAAGACGAUCAGAUACCGUCGUAGUUCCGACCGUAAACGAUGCCAACUAGCAAUCCGGUGGUGUUAUUCCCAUGACCCGCCGGGCAGCGUCCGAGAAACCAAAGUCUUUGGGUUCCGGGGGGAGUAUGGUUUGCAAAGCUGAAACUUAAAGGAAUUGACGGAAGGGCACCACCAGGAGUGGAGCCUGCGGCUUAAUUUGACUCAACACGGGAAACCUCACCCGGCCCGGACACGGAAAGGAUUGACAGAUUGAUAGCUCUUUCUCGAUUCUGUGGGUGGUGGUGCAUGGCCAUUUGUAGUUGGUGGAGCGAUUUGUCUAGUUAAUUCCGAUAAGGAACGAGACUCCGGCAUUCUAUCUAGUUACACAGCCCCCCGUGCGGUCAGUGUCCAACUUCUUUGAGCGAUAAGUGGCGUUCAGCCACACGUGAUUGAGCAAUAACAGGUCUGUGAUGCGCUUAGAUGUCCGGGGCUGCACUCGCGCCACACUGAGUGGACACAGCGUGUGUUUACCCUUCGCCGAUAACCCGCUGAACCCCACUCGUGACGGGGACUGGGGAUUGCAAUUAUUCCCCACGAACGAGGAAUUCCCAGUAAGCGUGGGUCAUAAGUUCACGUUGAUUAUGUCCCUGCCCUUCGUACAGACCGCCUGUCGCUACUACCGAUUGGAUGGUUUAGUGAGGUCCUCGGAUCAGCCCCGGCGGGGUAGUCGUUCACGGCUCCUGGCUCCGAGCGCCAAGAAGACAGUCGAACUUGACUAUCUAGAGGAAGUAAAAGUCGUAACAAGGUUUCCGUAGGUUCACCUACGGAAA